Molecule: non-coding RNA, 207 nt
Organism: Oryza barthii
Lineage: Eukaryota; Viridiplantae; Streptophyta; Magnoliopsida; Poales; Poaceae
Source: Rfam
AAAAAGACAAACCCUGGGUUUUCGUGUCCAAUGUUUGACUGUCCGUAUUAUAAGAAAUUUUUUUAUAAUUUCUAUUUUUAUUGUUGUUAGAUGAUAAACAUGAUUAAUACUUUAUACGUGACUUGUCUUUUAAUUUUUUUUUCAUAAUUUUUUUAAAUAAGACGAACGGUCAAACGUUGAACACGGAAACCCAGGGUUUGUCUUUUU